UUUAACCAGUAACUCAGACUCUAGCGACCGCUCUCUGAACAUGUGUAGCCCCAGCGCCCAGCUACUGCUCAGCUCAUGCCCUGGUCAAUGCAACCUGUCUCCAUUCCUUUCAGUUUGAAUGAAUUCACAACCUAUGGCAGCGAAGAAAGCACCAAACCGGCCUCCGUCCGGGCCCUGCUGUUUGACAUCUCCUUCCUCAUGCUGUGCCAUGUGGCCCAGACCUAUGGUUCAGAGGUGAUUCUGUCCGAGUCGCGCACAGGAGCUGAGGUGCCCUUCUUCGAGACCUGGAUGCAGACCUGCAUGCCUGAGGAGGGCAAGAUCCUGAACCCUGACCACCCCUGCUUCCGCCCCGACUCCACCAAAGUGGAGUCCCUGGUGGCCCUGCUCAACAACUCAUCGGAGAUGAAGCUGGUGCAGAUGAAGUGGCAUGAGGCCUGCCUCAGCAUCUCAGCCGCCAUCUUGGAAAUCCUCAAUGCCUGGGAGAAUGGGGUCCUGGCCUUCGAGUCCAUCCAGAAAAUCACUGAUAACAUCAAAGGGAAGGU
This 542-nucleotide small RNA is filed under the name Pongo abelii (Sumatran orangutan). Its description in RNAcentral is "retained intron". Lineage: Eukaryota; Metazoa; Chordata; Mammalia; Primates; Hominidae. The record is from RNAcentral.